This 157-nucleotide ribosomal RNA is filed under the name Fusobacterium periodonticum. RNAcentral describes it as "partial 23S ribosomal RNA". It matches the Rfam family "Bacterial large subunit ribosomal RNA", at positions 1 to 151 of the family's 2925-position model. The record is from RNAcentral. Lineage: Bacteria; Fusobacteriati; Fusobacteriota; Fusobacteriia; Fusobacteriales; Fusobacteriaceae.
GUUGUAUAGUUAAGUGACUAAGCGUACAAGGUGGAUGCCUUGGCAAUCAGAGGCGAGGAAGGACGUGCUAAUCUGCGAAAAGCUUGGAUGAGUCGAUAAGAGGCGUUUAAUCCAAGAUGUCCGAAUGGGGAAACCCAGUAGAUGAAGAAUCUACUAU